RNAcentral lists this ribosomal RNA (465 nucleotides) under Vreelandella stevensii. Its description in RNAcentral is "partial 16S ribosomal RNA". It matches the Rfam family "Bacterial small subunit ribosomal RNA", at positions 338 to 795 of the family's 1533-position model. Lineage: Bacteria; Pseudomonadati; Pseudomonadota; Gammaproteobacteria; Oceanospirillales; Halomonadaceae. The record is from RNAcentral.
CCUACGGGCGGCAGCAGUGGGGAAUAUUGGACAAUGGGGGCAACCCUGAUCCAGCCAUGCCGCGUGUGUGAAGAAGGCCCUCGGGUUGUAAAGCACUUUCAGUGAGGAAGAACGCCUGGUGGUUAAUACCCAUCAGGAAAGACAUCACUCACAGAAGAAGCACCGGCUAACUCCGUGCCAGCAGCCGCGGUAAUACGGAGGGUGCGAGCGUUAAUCGGAAUUACUGGGCGUAAAGCGCGCGUAGGUGGCUUGAUAAGCCGGUUGUGAAAGCCCCGGGCUCAACCUGGGAACGGCAUCCGGAACUGUCAAGCUAGAGUGCAGGAGAGGAAGGUAGAAUUCCCGGUGUAGCGGUGAAAUGCGUAGAGAUCGGGAGGAAUACCAGUGGCAAAGGCGGCCUUCUGGACUGACACUGACACUGAGGUGCGAAAGCGUGGGUAGCAAACAGGAUUAGAUACCCCUGUAGUC